This 200-nucleotide ribosomal RNA is filed under the name uncultured bacterium. RNAcentral's name for it is "partial 16S ribosomal RNA". It matches the Rfam family "Bacterial small subunit ribosomal RNA", at positions 1305 to 1500 of the family's 1533-position model. The record is from RNAcentral.
CUGCAACUCGACUGCACGAAGCUGGAAUCGCUAGUAAUCGCGGAUCAGCACGCCGCGGUGAAUACGUUCCCGGGCCUUGUACACACCGCCCGUCACACCAUGGAAGUCUGCAAUGCCCGAAGCCGGUGGCCUAACCACUUAUGUGGAAGGAGCCGUCUAAGGCAGGGCAGAUGACUGGGGUGAAGUCGUAACAAGGUACC